This 75-nucleotide transfer RNA is filed under the name Candidatus Pacearchaeota archaeon. RNAcentral's name for it is "tRNA-Arg". It matches the Rfam family "tRNA". From Rfam's summary of the family: Transfer RNA (tRNA) molecules are approximately 80 nucleotides in length. Their secondary structure includes four short double-helical elements and three loops (D, anti-codon, and T loops). The record is from RNAcentral. Lineage: Archaea; Nanobdellati.
GCCCGGGUAGCUCAGCCUGGAUAGAGCACCUGCCUUCUAAGCAGGGGGUCGCAGGUUCGAAUCCUGUCUCGGGCG